RNAcentral lists this ribosomal RNA (953 nucleotides) under Trichocerca pusilla. Its description in RNAcentral is "SSU rRNA". It matches the Rfam family "Eukaryotic small subunit ribosomal RNA", at positions 32 to 999 of the family's 1831-position model. The record is from RNAcentral. Lineage: Eukaryota; Metazoa; Rotifera; Eurotatoria; Ploima; Trichocercidae.
UUGUCUCAAAGAUUAAGCCAUGCAUGUCUAAGUACAUACUUUUGCACGGUGAAACCGCGAAUGGCUCAUUAAAUCAGUUAUGGUUCCUUAGAUAAUUCAUAUUACAUGGAUAACUGUGGUAAUUCUAGAGCUAAUACAUGCAAAAAGCUCCGACCGUAUGGGAAGAGCGCUUUUAUUAGACCAAAACCAAUGGGGUCGCAAGAUCCCUUUGUAUGGUGACUCUGGAUAACUUUGUGCUGAUCGCAUGGCCUAGAGCCGGCGACGUAUCUUUCAAAUGUCUGCCCUAUCAACUUUCGAUGGUAAGCGAUUUGCCUACCAUGGUUGUAACGGGUAACGGGGAAUCAGGGUUCGAUUCCGGAGAGGGAGCAUGAGAAAUGGCUACCACAUCUACGGAAGGCAGCAGGCGCGCAAAUUACCCACUCCUAGAACGGGGAGGUAGUGACGAAAAAUAACAAUACCGGACUCAUUGAGGCUCGGUAAUUGAAAUGAGUACAGUUUAAAACCCUUAACGAGGAUCUAUUGGAGGGCAAGUCUGGUGCCAGCAGCCGCGGUAAUUCCAGCUCCAAUAGCGUAUAUUAAAGUUGUUGCAGUUAAAAAGCUCGUAGUUGGAUCUCGGGUACCAGCAAGUGGUACGCUUAAUUGCUGUUACUACUUGACUGGUCCUAAUCAACCGGUUGGCCGUUGAUGCCCUUUAUUGGGUGUUUCGGUAGCCGGUACGUUUACUUUGAGAAAAUUAGAGUGCUUAAGCAGGCAUACGCCUGAAUAAUGUUGCAUGGAAUAAUAGAAUAGGACUCGGUUCUAUUUUGUUGGUUUGUAGAGCAUUGAGGUAAUGAUUAAUAGGGACAGACGGGGCAUUCGUAUUGCGUGUUAGAGGUGAAUUCUUGGAUCGCCGCAAGACGAACACUGCGAAGCAUUUGCCAGAUGUUUCAUUAAUCAGACGAAGUUGGAGGUCG